This 253-nucleotide ribosomal RNA is filed under the name uncultured bacterium. RNAcentral describes it as "partial 16S ribosomal RNA". It matches the Rfam family "Bacterial small subunit ribosomal RNA", at positions 524 to 776 of the family's 1533-position model. The record is from RNAcentral.
CACGGGGGGAGCAAGCGUUGUUCGGAAUCACUGGGCGUAAAGGGCGUGUAGGCGGUCAGGUAAGUGGGAUGUGAAAUGCCCCGGCUCACCCGGGGACCGGCAUCCCAUACUGCUUGGCUUGAGUACGGGAGAGGAUGUGGGAAUUCCUGGUGUAGCGGUGAAGUGCGUAGAUAUCAGGAGGAACACCGGUGGCGAAGGCGCACAUCUGGCCCGAUACUGACGCUGAGGCGCGAAAGCUAGGGGAGCAAACGGG